RNAcentral lists this transfer RNA (68 nucleotides) under Montemys delectorum (delectable soft-furred mouse). RNAcentral describes it as "tRNA-Thr". Lineage: Eukaryota; Metazoa; Chordata; Mammalia; Rodentia; Muridae. The record is from RNAcentral.
GUCCUAAUAGUAUAAACACAUUACUUUGGUCUUGUAAACCAAAAAUGAAGAAACAUCUUCUUAGGAUA